Molecule: ribosomal RNA, 450 nt
Filed under: uncultured bacterium
Lineage: Bacteria
Description: partial 16S ribosomal RNA
Rfam family: Bacterial small subunit ribosomal RNA
Source: RNAcentral
CCUACGGGGGGCUGCAGUAAGGAAUAUUGGUCAAUGGACGAAAGUCUGAACCAGCCAUCCCGCGUGCAGGAUGAAAGCCCUAUGGGUUGUAAACUGCUUUUCGCAGAGAAGAAAGGCUUCCAUUUAUGGGGGUCUGACGGUAUCUGCAGAAUAAGCACCGGCUAACUCCGUGCCAGCAGCCGCGGUAAUACGGAGGGUGCGAGCGUUAUCCGGAAUAACUGGGUCGAAGGGGUGCGUUGACGGAGUUGGUGAACACUUGUCGCUUAACGAUAAAAUUGCCAAUGAUACUGGUACUCUUGAAUUGGGUUGAGGUUAGCGGAAUGUGACAUGUAGCGGUGAAAUGCAUAGAUAUGUCAUGGAACACCAAUUGCGAAGGCAGCUAACUGGGCCUUGAUUGACGCUGAGGCACGAAAGCGUGGGUAGCGAACAGGAUUAGAUACCCUUGUAGUC